RNAcentral lists this ribosomal RNA (451 nucleotides) under uncultured bacterium. RNAcentral describes it as "bacterial SSU rRNA". It matches the Rfam family "Bacterial small subunit ribosomal RNA", at positions 340 to 784 of the family's 1533-position model. The record is from RNAcentral.
UACGGGAGGCAGCAGUGGGGAAUAUUGCACAAUGGGCGCAAGCCUGAUGCAGCCAUGCCGCGUGUAUGAAGAAGGCCUUCGGGUUGUAAAGUACUUUCAGUCGUGAGGAAGGUGUUAAGGUUAAUAACCUUAGCAAUUGACGUUAGCGACAGAAGAAGCACCGGCUAACUCCGUGCCAGCAGCCGCGGUAAUACGGAGGGUGCGAGCGUUAAUCGGAAUUACUGGGCUAAAGGGCACGCAGGCGGUUAAUUAAGUUGGAUGUGAAAUCCCCGGGCUUAACCUGGGAAUGGCAUUCAAGACUGGUUAGCUAGAGUCUUGUAGAGGGGGUAGAAUUCCAUGUGUAGCGGUGAAAUGCGUAGAGAUGUGGAGGAAUACCGGUGGCGAAGGCGGCCCCUGGCAAAGGACUGACGCUCAUGUGCGAAAGCGUGGGGAGCGAAACAGGGAUUAGAUA